GCGCACUUAGCUUAGUUGGUUAAAGCAUCACUCAUGAAGUUCGAGGUCGCGGGUUCAAGUCCCGUAGUGCACA
Transfer RNA from Puccinia triticina 1-1 BBBD Race 1, 73 nucleotides. It matches the Rfam family "tRNA". Rfam says of the family: Transfer RNA (tRNA) molecules are approximately 80 nucleotides in length. Their secondary structure includes four short double-helical elements and three loops (D, anti-codon, and T loops). Further hydrogen bonds mediate the characteristic L-shaped molecular structure. tRNAs have two regions of fundamental functional importance: the anti-codon, which is responsible for specific mRNA codon recognition, and the 3' end, to which the tRNAs corresponding amino acid is attached (by aminoacyl-tRNA synthetases). tRNAs cope with the degeneracy of the genetic code in two manners: having more than one tRNA (with a specific anti-codon) for a particular amino acid; and 'wobble' base-pairing, i.e. permitting non-standard base-pairing at the 3rd anti-codon position. Lineage: Eukaryota; Fungi; Basidiomycota; Pucciniomycetes; Pucciniales; Pucciniaceae. The record is from Rfam.